Molecule: long non-coding RNA, 757 nt
Organism: Oryza sativa Japonica Group (Japanese rice)
Lineage: Eukaryota; Viridiplantae; Streptophyta; Magnoliopsida; Poales; Poaceae
Source: RefSeq, a predicted model, not a curated record
UCAUCCUCUUUUCCCCAUCCGAGCCUUGAGCUCUUCUUCUUCUCUCUCUCCUGUCAAGUCCGGCCGACGCCGCCAUCGGUCGAUCUCCUCCUCUAUAGUUCCCCUAGCUAAAUCCUUGCACCACUGACUCCCCCUCCCUCCGGCGAAUCCAUUUUUCCCGUUUUCCCCUUCUCCCCCACCCCAUAGCAACCACCACAACUACCUCCUUUGCAGCCGAAGAGAAGCUCUUCUACUUGCCGUUCCGGCCAACUCCUCAUCUCCCUCUGCCGGAAACCAUCCUCCCCAGAUGCGCGUCGUCCGGGAACACAAGUUGCCGCCGACGUCGCCGAUCCCCGGCCACUGGAGCCCCAGCGCCCCUUCUCUCUCUCUCUCUCUCUCUCUCUGUGUUGUUACACGGGAAGAAGGAGAGGAGGAGGAAGAUGACGGGAGGAAGAAGAAGAAAGAAGAGAAAAAGAAAAAUAAAGACUGACAGAGUCGAAUUGAUGUUCUUACCGAAGCUGGGAGUUCAAUCACAUAAGUUAGUUUCAUUCUAACUUAAUUCGCAAAUAUAGAUUAGACAGAUGGUUUAAGUCUAUAGCCAAACAUUAGAGUUAAGUCAUUCUAUAGCUUUUGCUGUAAUAGUUAGCCACAACCUUGUAAAUACCCUAUUAUUUUACAUAAAGAAAUCUCCUUUGGAGCCUUGAUCAAGUGUAUGCGAUGAAGAUCCAGAUUGUUGAACCUGUAUCAAUAUACUGAUCCAGGGCUUGAUACAGUUAAA